CUAACAUCUGUAUGGCCAAUACAAAUGUUUGUCAUGUGCGGGGAUCGAACCCGCAACCGUCAGCGCGACAGCCACAGUCCGGUACUGUGGCCGUUGCGCCAACGCUUUGUCAAAAAAUAUCGUGUAAAACUCGUACGUAUGUUACAUAAACGUCAAGUUGUUUGACGUUUUUAUAUGUCGAUUUGAUGUCAACUUCAAAAACUGUCAGUCUAAAUUUUAUUUUUAUAUUUUAUAUUAUUUCGAUCGUAUCUCUUUAUUAAAUUGACAUCAAAUUGCAUAAAAUAAUUCCGACAAUAUCGGAAUCAUAUACAAAUUACAAGAUUCCGCUUUAACGUUUUUUCUUUUUCAGAUUUCCUGAGCGUGGCGUUGCCGAGCAAUGACAGCGGCCUGAGGCAGGCGGCCGGCUGCCCGGGUACAGCGGGUCUCCGUGCUGCCGACGCCGCAGCAACGCCUUUAUAGUGACUUUAUGUGUGUUUAUUAAGUGUACAUUGUUUAGUGCGAUAUUAUGUCAAAUAGUUUUAAAACAACCGAUGCAUCUCAACCGGAACUUUUCUCGUGUCCAGAACGAGCUAACGAUUUCCUGAGCGUGGCGUUGCCGAGCAAUGACAGCGGCCUGAGGCAGGCGGCCGGCUGCCCGGGUACAGCGGGUCUCCGUGCUGCCGACGCCGCAGCAACGCCUUUAUAGUGACUUUAUGUGUGUUUAUUAAGUGUACAUUGUUUAGUGCGAUAUUAUGUCAAAUAGUUUUAAAACAACCGAUGCAUCUCAACCGGAACUUUUCUCGUGUCCAGAACGAGCUAACGAUUUCCUGAGCGUGGCGUUGCCGAGCAAUGACAGCGGCCUGAGGCAGGCGGCCGGCUGCCCGGGUACAGCGGGUCUCCGUGCUGCCGACGCCGCAGCAACGCCUUUAUAGUGACUUUAUGUGUGUUUAUUAAGUGUACAUUGUUUAGUGCGAUAUUAUGUCAAAUAGUUUUAAAACAACCGAUGCAUCUCAACCGGAACUUUUCUCGUGUCCAGAACGAGCUAACGGUAGGUCGUUUAGAGGCCGCGAAGGCUUAAAAAUUCACACCGCCCGUUGCCACGGCGAUCCAUUAGUGCAUUCAUCGCCUAUUUUAACCGAUCCUUCGUCGACCGUAACCAGUGUUAAUAAUUCGGUUCCAUUUGAAAAAUUGAUUUCGAAAUUUCACCAAAAUAUCCCGAUCGUUAAACGAGUUAACUAGAGGAGCGAGGAUGUCUCUAGCUAGAUAGAUCUCUAUCAACUGUGAUUAAAAAGUGUAUUUCGGACACUGAUUCGGCCUGGUAAAAUCUUUUAUAUUUUCUUACGAAUUUUUACACGUUGAUAAAACCAAAAAUAGUUCUUUAUCAACCAAAUUAAAGCAGAAUAGCUUAUUAGACAUUCCGAUUAUCACUCCUAAAAACCCACGACCUUUAUAUUCCGACUCUAGUAAAAUUAUUGAAAAUAAAGCAAUGGAUGGAGAUCUCGAGAAUGCAGCUCGCGUUCUUUUCUCUAGUGAUUAUUUAAUUAAUGAUUACGGAAUUAUUUAAUGAUUUGUACCAAAACUAUCGGUAAAUAUUUAGUUUUUAAGGUGUGAAUUGUAAAUAGGUACCUAUAAUGUUUAAUAAACUAUUGUUAUUCAGUUGUUGUACGUAAAAUCUAACAAAUUGGUAUUUUGACGAAUAGAUAGAUAGAUAUGUUAAAAAAAGUGGUCUCCGAGACACGGCUUGAUUUUUUUUUUAUUUCAGCUACUAUAUUUAUUUUAAUAUUUUGCAUUUAAACCUAAAUUCUGGGAUAAUAAAACAUAGCGGGGUGUUCUUUUUAUUUCUGUAA
Long non-coding RNA from Melitaea cinxia (Glanville fritillary), 1826 nucleotides. RefSeq lists it as uncharacterized. Lineage: Eukaryota; Metazoa; Arthropoda; Insecta; Lepidoptera; Nymphalidae. The record is from RefSeq and is a predicted model, not a curated record. The transcript has 3 exons.